GGUCGGAGCUGGUGUAGUGGUUUGAGUGUUGGGCUAUGACUCCAGAGGUCAGGGUUCGAUUCCCAUUCAACCA
Molecule: non-coding RNA, 73 nt
Organism: Phrynosoma platyrhinos (Desert horned lizard)
Lineage: Eukaryota; Metazoa; Chordata; Lepidosauria; Squamata; Phrynosomatidae
Source: the annotation of a GenBank genome assembly